AAGAGCUCCCGUAAAAGUCUCUAACGAUGGUUGCACCAAUGACUUUUUAAUGGUUGGUCUUUCCACAAAGGACAUGCCAGUGACCAAAGCCGAUUCAAUAGAUGUUUUAUGUGAUUAUAUCAUGGCAAUAGAAGACGAUACGACACUAGAGAGAACAUGGGUGCGAAGUUUCAAUCCUUUUAAGAUAGAAAUAUCUGUCAAAGACCUGCAAAACAUAUUAACGACAACUCAAGAUAUGAUUCUAAGAUGUUUUGAUAUGGCUGUUCGACUGCUUGCCAAUAAAGAGUCACGUAGACCGAAAGAAGAAAUCAUAAAUAAUAGAAAGCAUUAUAUGGACAUGCGUUUUUGGAGAAUGGUUGGUUUUGGUAAACUUCCAAAGUACCAUCAGGAUCCUACAACAGAAGAGUUAGCCAAAACACUCGAUUGUUGGCCAUCAAUGAAUUAUUAUAUCACGGGUUGUAGAUAUGUUCUCAUGCCAUGGAAAUUCAAUGGAUGUCACGCCCUUUUCGUAAUAGAUCAUGUUAAAAAGCAUGUGACUUUUAUCGAUUUUACAC
Molecule: unclassified non-coding RNA, 554 nt
Filed under: Zea mays
Lineage: Eukaryota; Viridiplantae; Streptophyta; Magnoliopsida; Poales; Poaceae
Description: misc RNA Zm00001eb097430
Source: RNAcentral